This 1051-nucleotide long non-coding RNA is filed under the name Salmo salar (Atlantic salmon). RNAcentral describes it as "lncRNA (ENSSSAG00000096625.1)". Lineage: Eukaryota; Metazoa; Chordata; Actinopteri; Salmoniformes; Salmonidae. The record is from RNAcentral.
GAUGAGGGGCUGGAGACUUCAUCUUCAGAAGGAGAGAUGCCCUGAGGCUGAGGAGGGGAAGGAGAGAUGCCCUGAGGCUGACGAGGGGAAGGAGACUUCAUCUUCAGAAGGAGAGAUGCCCUGAGGCUGACGAGGGGAAGGAGAGAUGCCCUGAGGCUGACGAGGGGAAGGAGAGAUGCCCUGAGGCUGACGAGGGGAAGGAGAGAUCCCUGAGGCUGACGAGGGGCAGGAGACUUCAUCUUCAGAAGGAGAGAUGCGCUGAGGCUGACAAGGGGAAGGAGACUUCAUCUUCAGAAGGAGAGAUGCCCUGAGGCUGACAAGGGGAAGGAGACUUCAUCUUCAGAAGGCGAGAUGCCCUGAGGCUGAGGAGGGGAAGGAGAGAUGCCCUGAGGCUGACGAGGGGAAGGAGACUUCAUCUUCAGAAGGAGAGAUGCCCUGAGGCUGACGAGGGGAAGGAGAGAUGCCCUGAGGCUGACGAGGGGAAGGAGAGAUGCCCUGAGGCUGACGAGGGGAAGGAGAGAUCCCUGAGGCUGACGAGGGGCAGGAGACUUCAUCUUCAGAAGGAGAGAUGCGCUGAGGUUGACAAGGGGAUGGAGAGAUGUCCUGAGGCUGACCAGGGGAAGGAGAGAUACCCUGAGGCUGACCAGGGGAAGGAGAGAUACCCUGAGGCUGACGAGGGGAAGGAGACUUCAUCUUCAGAAGGAGAGAUGCCCUGAGGCUGACAAGGGGAAGGAGAGAUGCCCUGAGGCUGACGAGGGGAAGGAGACUUCAUCUUCAGAAGGAGAGAUGCCCUGAGGCUGACGAGGGGAAUUAGAGAUCCCCUGAGGCUGACGAGGGGCUGGAGACUUCAUCUUCAGAAGGAGAGAUGCGCUGAGGCUGACGAGGAGAAGUAGAGAUAACCUGAGGCUGAUGAGGGGAAGGAGAGGUGUCCCGAGCCUGACAAGGGAUAGGAGAGAUGCCCUGAGACUGACGAGGGGAAGUAAACUUCAUCUUCAGAAUGAGAGAUGCCCUGAGGCUGACGAGGGGAAGGAGACUUCAUCUUCAGAAGGAG